UGAACAGUUAAUAAACAAAACCAUCAGUAGCAGUAGGUUAAUUCAUAACGGCACAGGUCAAGCUGCAGGUUUGAGGCAAUGCUGCAGGAUUGGGGCCAUGCUGCAUGUUUAGGGUCAUGCUGCAGAAUUGGGGUCAUGCUACACAUUUUGGGCAAUGUCACACAUUUGGGGCCAUGUCACACGUUUAGGGCCAUGCUACAGGUUUGAGGUCAUGCUACACGUUUGGGGCCAUGUCACACAGUCACACAUUUGGGGCCAAGUCACACGUUUAGGGCCAUGCUACACGUUUGGGGUCAUGCUGCAGGUUUGGGGUCAUGCUGCAGGUUUGGGUCAUGCUGCAGGAUUGGGGCCAUGCUACAGGUUUUGGGUCAUGUUACACAUUUGGGGCCAUGUCACACAUUUUGGGCCAAGUCACAAGUUUAGGGCCAUGCUACAGGUUUGGGGCCAUGGUACAGGUUUGGGGCCAUGCUAUAGGUUUGGGGUCAUGCUACAGGUUUGGGUCAUGCUGCAAGAUUGGGGCCAUGCUACAGGUUUGGGGCCAUGCUACAGGUUUGGGGCCAUGCUAUAGGUUUGGGGCCAUGCUAUAGGUUUGGGUCAUGCUACAGGUUUGGGUCAUGCUACAGGUUUGGGUCAUGCUACAGGUUUGGGUCAUGCUGCAGGAUUGGGGCCAUGCUACAGGUUUUGGGUCAUGUUACACAUUUGGGGCCAUGUCACAGGGGCCAUGGUACAGGUUUGAGGCCAUGCUAUAGGUUUGGGGUUCAUGCUACAGGUUUAGGGCCAUGCUGCAGUUUUGGGGUCAUGCUACAGGUUUGGGUCAUGCUGCAGGUUUGGGGCCAUGCCGCAGGUUUGGGGCCAUGGUACAGGUUUGGGGCCAUGCUAUAGGUUUGGAGUUCAUGCUACAGGUUUAGGGCCAUGCUACAGUUUUGGAGUCAUGCUACAGGUUUGGGUCAUGCUGCAGGUUUGGGGUUUAGCAAACAGUCGUCUUCUUAGCACAGACAUCAUAAAUCAUAAAUCUGCCCUCGCUUCUUUGCCAAAAAAUCACACCUCUGAAGAACUCUCUUUGUACCCAUUUUACUGGAUUCCUACUAAGACUUAGAAAUCAGCCGAUUGCACUUUAUACCCAAAUGAUUUUUGAUGAAUAUACUGUAAAUUUCUGUUAAUAUGAAAACAAUUCUAAAGAGAGGUUAGCUGUAACACUUUUAUUACUAAUGAAAGUCUAAACGUGUAAAUAUAUUCAGAGUGUGAUGGAUAGAAGGAGGCAGAGAGAGUGAAGGAUCAUAAAUGAUUUCAAACAUUGGAUGUUACUGAAACACAGAGUGUUUUAUAUGCAGUAGUUUAAACAGCCCUCUCAGUUCUUCAUGCUCAGUCUGUGUGAUCAGUGUCAGUGCUGCAGCCUGCAGAAGCUACAUGUUGUACAAAAUAUCCUAUUAUCACCACGUCCUGCUCAGUAUUACUGCUCAGUGUUACCUGACUGUGGAGAGAAGAGGAUAAAGAUAUUUUGUACAUUAACAGCUCAAGGUUGACCUUUUUCUUUAAUAAAGAGAAAACAUACUAACAUGA
This is a long non-coding RNA of Notolabrus celidotus (New Zealand spotty), 1560 nucleotides long. RefSeq lists it as uncharacterized. Lineage: Eukaryota; Metazoa; Chordata; Actinopteri; Labriformes; Labridae. The transcript is spliced from 2 exons. The record is from RefSeq and is a predicted model, not a curated record.